GCAAGUCGAACGAGAAAGCGGGCUUCGGCUCGUGAGUAGAGUGGCAUACGGGUGAGUAACACGUGGGCAAUCUGCCCGAAGGUGGGGGAUAACUCUCGGAAACGGGGGCUAAUACCGCAUGAUAUCGCGAGGACUUCGGUCCUUGCGCUCAAAGCUAGCCUCUUCUUGAAAGCUAGCGCCAUCGGAGGAGCUCGCGGCCCAUUAGCUUGUUGGUGAGGUAACGGCUCACCAAGGCUACGAUGGGUAGCCGGCCUGAGAGGGCGAUC
This 266-nucleotide ribosomal RNA is filed under the name uncultured bacterium. RNAcentral's name for it is "partial 16S ribosomal RNA". It matches the Rfam family "Bacterial small subunit ribosomal RNA", at positions 57 to 305 of the family's 1533-position model. The record is from RNAcentral.